AGUGGCGGACGGGUGAGUAACUUUUGCGAACGUGCCCUGAGGUACGGAAUAACUGCGGGAAACUGCAGCUAAUACCGUAUGAGCCCCGUGAGGGGGAAAGAUUUAUCGCCUUAGGAGCGGCCCGCGUCGGAUUAGCUAGUUGGUGGGGUAAUGGCUUACCAAGGCUUCGAUCCGUAGCUGGUCUGAGAGGACGAUCAGCCACACUGGGACUGAGACACGGCCCAGACUCCUACGGGAGGCAGCAGU
Molecule: ribosomal RNA, 246 nt
Filed under: uncultured bacterium
Lineage: Bacteria
Description: partial 16S ribosomal RNA
Rfam family: Bacterial small subunit ribosomal RNA
Source: RNAcentral